This 74-nucleotide transfer RNA is filed under the name Nitrososphaerota archaeon. RNAcentral describes it as "tRNA-Gly". It matches the Rfam family "tRNA". From Rfam's summary of the family: Transfer RNA (tRNA) molecules are approximately 80 nucleotides in length. Their secondary structure includes four short double-helical elements and three loops (D, anti-codon, and T loops). Further hydrogen bonds mediate the characteristic L-shaped molecular structure. tRNAs have two regions of fundamental functional importance: the anti-codon, which is responsible for specific mRNA codon recognition, and the 3' end, to which the tRNAs corresponding amino acid is attached (by aminoacyl-tRNA synthetases). tRNAs cope with the degeneracy of the genetic code in two manners: having more than one tRNA (with a specific anti-codon) for a particular amino acid; and 'wobble' base-pairing, i.e. permitting non-standard base-pairing at the 3rd anti-codon position. RNAcentral also lists the same sequence under 2 other names. Lineage: Archaea; Thermoproteati; Nitrososphaerota. The record is from RNAcentral.
GCGGCCGUCGUCUAGCCUGGAAGGACGCUGGCCUUCCGAGCCAGCGGUCCCGGGUUCAAAUCCCGGCGGCCGCA